This 407-nucleotide ribosomal RNA is filed under the name uncultured bacterium. RNAcentral describes it as "partial 16S ribosomal RNA". It matches the Rfam family "Bacterial small subunit ribosomal RNA", at positions 29 to 526 of the family's 1533-position model. The record is from RNAcentral.
AUUGAACGCUAGCGGCAUGCCUUACACAUGCAAGUCGAACGGAGGGGCGAACGGGUGAGUAAUGUAUCUGAACGUGCCCAGUCGCGGGGGAUAACUACGCGAAAGCGUAGCUAAUACCGCAUACUAUUGGAGCGGCCGAGAACGGAUUAGGUAGGUGGGGGGGUAACGGCGCACCAAGGCGACGAUCCGUAGCUGGGUUGAGAGGACGACCAGCCACACUGGGACUGAGAAACGGCCCAGUCGCCUUCGGGAGGGAGCAGGAGGGAAUCUUGGGCAAUGGGCGGAAAUCAUGCCGAGCAACGGCGCGGGAGUGAAGAAGGUUUUCGGGUGGUAAAGCUCUGUUGUUAGGGAAGCGGUAACUAACGAAAAAGGAACGGCUAACUACGUGCCAGCAGCCGCGGUAAUAC